CAGCAGCAGCCGCGGUAAUACGAAGGGUGCAAGCGUUACUCGGAAUUACUGGGCGUAAAGCGUGCGUAGGUGGUGGUUUAAGUCCGUUGUGAAAGCCCUGGGCUCAACCUGGGAAUUGCAGUGGAUACUGGGUCACUAGAGUGUGGUAGAGGAUAGUGGAAUUUCCGGUGUAGCAGUGAAAUGCGUAGAGAUCGGGAGGAACAUCAGUGGCGAAGGCGGCCAUCUGGGACAACACUGACGCUGAGGCACGAAAGCGUGGGGAGCAAACAGGAUUAGAUACCCGCGUAGUCCCUGUCUCUUAUAC
RNAcentral lists this ribosomal RNA (304 nucleotides) under uncultured bacterium. RNAcentral describes it as "partial 16S ribosomal RNA". It matches the Rfam family "Bacterial small subunit ribosomal RNA", at positions 506 to 807 of the family's 1533-position model. The record is from RNAcentral.